RNAcentral lists this small RNA (203 nucleotides) under Nocardia seriolae. Its description in RNAcentral is "Actinobacteria sRNA Ms_IGR-5". It matches the Rfam family "Actinobacteria sRNA Ms_IGR-5". The record is from Rfam by way of RNAcentral. Lineage: Bacteria; Bacillati; Actinomycetota; Actinomycetes; Mycobacteriales; Nocardiaceae.
ACACAGGAAGGAGGUGGUUCGAGAAUGAUUUCUAGGACGCGUGAGGUGGCUGCCCGCUAGGCGCUACCGCUGCAAUCGGAUUCCGAUCGCGCGAGCCCUCGCGAAUCCAAGGCAGUCACCCGGCCCCCGAGUUACGGUCCGUCCGACCGGACUUGCGUGAGAAUGUUGCAUCCUCCGCAGGUAUGACUCGGGGGCCGUACCUG